This 208-nucleotide ribosomal RNA is filed under the name Neisseria meningitidis. Its description in RNAcentral is "partial 16S ribosomal RNA". It matches the Rfam family "Bacterial small subunit ribosomal RNA", at positions 130 to 340 of the family's 1533-position model. Lineage: Bacteria; Pseudomonadati; Pseudomonadota; Betaproteobacteria; Neisseriales; Neisseriaceae. The record is from RNAcentral.
CGAGUAGUGGGGGAUAACUGAUCGAAAGAUCAGCUAAUACCGCAUACGUCUUGAGAGAGAAAGCAGGGGACCUUCGGGUCUUGCGCUAUUCGAGCGGCCGAUAUCUGAUUAGCUAGUUGGUGGGGUAAAGGCUCACCAAGGCGACGAUCAGUAGCGGGUCUGAGAGGAUGAUCCGCCACACUGGGACUGAGACACGGCCCAGACUCCU